CAGGUGGCUGAUGCUGCUUCAUGCACUCAACUCCCAUAGCCUGCAGUAGAAUCAGAGCAUGUCCAAAGGUACCUGCAGCUAUUUUGAAGACAACAAAAGGCAUUAUGAUUCUUAUCACCAAAAAGAAGACCCCUCCCCAAAGAACUCAUUCUACAAGACAAUGAAUACAACCUUGAGCAG
This is a long non-coding RNA of Cavia porcellus (domestic guinea pig), 180 nucleotides long. RefSeq lists it as uncharacterized. Lineage: Eukaryota; Metazoa; Chordata; Mammalia; Rodentia; Caviidae. The record is from RefSeq and is a predicted model, not a curated record. The transcript is spliced from 3 exons.